UGGGGAAUAUUGCGCAAUGGGCGAAAGCCUGACGCAGCGACGCCGCGUGAGGGAAGAAGGCCUUCGGGUCGUAAACCUCUGUCUAGAGGGAAGAAACCAUUGAGGUCGAACAGGCCUCUUUGCUGACGGUACCUCUGAAGGAAGCACCGGCUAACUCCGUGCCAGCAGCCGCGGUAAUACGGAGGGUGCGAGCGUUAAUCGGAAUCACUGGGCGUACAGAGCACGUAGGCGGUGUCGUAAGACGGAUGUGAAAGCCCUCGGGUCAACCGGGGAACUGCAUUCGAUACUGCGAUGCUUGAGUGCCGGAGAGGGUGGCGGGAUUCCAGGUGGAGGAGUGAAAUCCGUAGAUAUCUGGAGGAACACCAGUGGCGAAGGCGGCCACCUGGCCGGCAACUGACGCUGGGGUGCGAAAGCGUGGGGAUCAAACA
RNAcentral lists this ribosomal RNA (428 nucleotides) under uncultured prokaryote. RNAcentral describes it as "bacterial SSU rRNA". It matches the Rfam family "Bacterial small subunit ribosomal RNA", at positions 355 to 774 of the family's 1533-position model. The record is from RNAcentral.